RNAcentral lists this small RNA (633 nucleotides) under Malus domestica (apple). Its description in RNAcentral is "sRNA MD11G0210300". The record is from RNAcentral. Lineage: Eukaryota; Viridiplantae; Streptophyta; Magnoliopsida; Rosales; Rosaceae.
GAGACAAAGCAUAGUGGCUUUAAAGGAGGGAGGGGAGAGGAGGGGAGAGGAGAGGAGGGAGAGGAGAGAGAGGAGAGUACAUGCCAUCUGGUGUACAUGGAGCACUUUCCGGGUUAUUUCUGCUGGAGAUUUUUGCUCUGUUGUUACCGCUAGACUGUAACUGAUAAAAAGCAGACCCCUUUUUCCUCUCUCCUCUCUCUCUCCUUAUCUCCUCUCACUCUAACCCACUGCCUCUUUCUCCUCCAAUUUCAAAACCUGAUUUCCAAUUUCGUGCUCUGAUCUUCUUUGCAUGUCGUUUGGGAAAUGCAUCGAAAGGUUUUUCAACAAUAGUUGGAUGGUUUGAGCUAAAACAUCAGCUUUGACUUGGAGCACUAUUUUGUUUUAUAUGCAGUGAUUUGUGAAUGAAGGCAAUGUAGUAUCAACCACCUUUUGUGGUGCUGGAUAUAUGUAUUUAUAUUCAGCAAGGGGAAGAGACUGAACGAGUUUGCUGUCGAUUAAUGUUAAGCGCCAAAAGCGGAGCAUUUCCAUGGCUUUGAGGGUGGUUUAUAGUGAUAUUUGUCAGCAGAAGAUUCCAGAUGUUUCAGUAACUCUUAAACAGAAAAAUAUACAGCUGGGUAGAUAUCACCUUUCGUG